GAUGAACGCUGGCGGCGUGCCUAAUGCAUGCAAGUCGAGCGAACAGACGAGGAGCUUGCUCCUCUGACGUUAGCGGCGGACGGGUGAGUAACACGUGGAUAACCUACCUAUAAGACUGGGAUAACUUCGGGAAACCGGAGCUAAUACCGGAUAAUAUAUUGAACCGCAUGGUUCAAUAGUGAAAGACGGUUUUGCUGUCACUUAUAGAUGGAUCCGCGCCGCAUUAGCUAGUUGGUAAGGUAACGGCUUACCAAGGCAACGAUGCGUAGCCGACCUGAGAGGGUGAUCGGCCACACUGGAACUGAGACACGGUCCAGACUCCUACGGGAGGCAGCAGUAGGGAAUCUUCCGCAAUGGGCGAAAGCCUGACGGAGCAACGCCGCGUGAGUGAUGAAGGUCUUCGGAUCGUAAAACUCUGUUAUUAGGGAAGAACAAAUGUGUAAGUAACUAUGCACGUCUUGACGGUACCUAAUCAGAAAGCCGCGGCUAACUACGUG
RNAcentral lists this ribosomal RNA (497 nucleotides) under uncultured bacterium. RNAcentral describes it as "partial 16S ribosomal RNA". It matches the Rfam family "Bacterial small subunit ribosomal RNA", at positions 28 to 507 of the family's 1533-position model. The record is from RNAcentral.